GCGUGAGUGAAGAAGGCCUUAGGGUUGUAAAACUCUUUCACUGAUGAAGAUGAUGACGGUAAUCAGAGAAGAAGCCCCGGCUAACUCCGUGCCAGCAGCCGCGGUAAUACGGAGGGGGCUAGCGUUGUUCGGAUUUACUGGGCGUAAAGCGCACGUAGGCGGCGUAGUAAGUUAGAGGUGAAAGGCCUGGGCUCAACCUAGGAACUGCCUUUGAUACUGCUAUGCUUGAGUUCGGAAGAGGGUAGUGGAAUUCCAAGUGUAGAGGUGAAAUUCGU
This 275-nucleotide ribosomal RNA is filed under the name uncultured bacterium. RNAcentral's name for it is "partial 16S ribosomal RNA". It matches the Rfam family "Bacterial small subunit ribosomal RNA", at positions 399 to 691 of the family's 1533-position model. The record is from RNAcentral.